This 497-nucleotide ribosomal RNA is filed under the name uncultured bacterium. RNAcentral's name for it is "partial 16S ribosomal RNA". It matches the Rfam family "Bacterial small subunit ribosomal RNA", at positions 28 to 507 of the family's 1533-position model. The record is from RNAcentral.
GAUGAACGCUGGCGGCGUGCCUAAUACAUGCAAGUCGAGCGAACAGACGAGGAGCUUGCUCCUCUGACGUUAGCGGCGGACGGGUGAGUAACACGUGGAUAACCUACCUAUAAGACUGGGAUAACUUCGGGAAACCGGAGCUAAUACCGGAUAAUAUAUUGAACCGCAUGGUUCAAUAGUGAAAGACGGUUUUGCUGUCACUUAUAGAUGGAUCCGCGCCGCAUUAGCUAGUUGGUAAGGUAACGGCUUACCAAGGCGACGAUGCGUAGCCGACAUGAGAGGAGGAGAGGCAACACGGGAAAUGAGACACGGCCCAGACUCCUAAGGGAGGAAGCAGUGGGGAAUAUUGGGAAAUGGGCGAAAGCCUGACAGAGCAAUGCAGCGUGAGUGAUGAAGGUCUUCGGAUUGUAAAACACUGUAAUUAGGGAAGAACAAAAGUACAAUUAAACAUGCACGUCUUGAGGGUACCUACUCAAAAAGCAAGGGCUAAGGACGUG